CCCAGAGGCUGCAAGGAGCCGGAAAGGGGAAGCCGGGACGCCUCGCCCUGGGCUGAUCGGCGGUGGCGGCGGUGCCGCAGAGUGACGGAGCCUUUUCCGUCGAGGGGCCUCGGGCAGCUUUACCCUUCACCCUGCCCCAGCAAGCCUAGAGUCGGCCAGGAAAUCCCAGAGUGUGCACCAGGGCCCCUAACCAUGCUCUUGCUGGGACCCCGGCAAACGGAGUCUGGAAGCCCAGUAAGGCCACGUCAACUCUGCCCCGGCCACGCAGACCGGAAAGCUGCAACCUGCCCCAGCGCCCUAAGUGGGGUACGCGGACUCCGCAGACCCAAUCCGAGCGCGGGAUGGGAGCCACCAAGAGAUUCCUAGAUUGGGGCCCAGGAUUUAGCUCCAUGGCACAUGUGAAGACCCUGGAACUCCAGCACAGUGGAAAAAGAAAACAGCAACUUGUCCUGGAUCCCCACAUCUAGAAAGUUCCUCUGUGAUUUCUUUUGAUUUGGGGCCAUACCUAGUGAUGCUCAGGGGUGACUCCUGCCUCUGCACUCAAGAAUCACUCCUGACAGUGCUCAGGGGAUCACAUAUGGUGCCAGGGAUGGAACCCAUGUCAGUCACAUGUAAAGCAAAAGCCCUAUUCACUGUACUCUCUCUCCGGCCCUGAUCUAGAAUGUUCUGACUGCCAACCUCCAUUCCAAGUAUUUUUCACUCGGUCUUCCCAGGACUCCUGGGAGAGAUGAAUUCAUUCCCAAGACCUUCAGACCAUCUCUUCACUCACAAGGCCUUGUUCCAUUUGUAUCCCUCAUGCUAAUCUUUUUUGCCAUUUCAAACUUUCACAAUAAAAAGGAGACAUGGAAAA
Long non-coding RNA from Sorex araneus (European shrew), 850 nucleotides. RefSeq lists it as uncharacterized. The transcript is spliced from 2 exons. Lineage: Eukaryota; Metazoa; Chordata; Mammalia; Eulipotyphla; Soricidae. The record is from RefSeq and is a predicted model, not a curated record.